RNAcentral lists this long non-coding RNA (216 nucleotides) under Lathyrus oleraceus (garden pea). Its description in RNAcentral is "Pisum sativum (pea) long non-coding RNA (PSAT_LNC020780)". Lineage: Eukaryota; Viridiplantae; Streptophyta; Magnoliopsida; Fabales; Fabaceae. The record is from RNAcentral.
UUUUUUCUAUUUUCUGAUUUUCAUUUUUGUUCUUUUAUUUUCAUUAUUUCAUAUUAAUUUUAAUAUUGAUCCAAAAAAUAUGAGUUUCACCAAAAAACUUCCUCUUUCAUAUUUUGAAUUAAAAUUAUUUUUUGGAUCAUUAUUAAUAUUUUUCAUGAUUUUAUUGAUUUUGGGAUUAUUUUUAAUUGCUUAAAAAUACUUUUAAGUCGUUAAAUA